GUUGUGUCAGAUUUCUGAUUUGACCGUCGGAGGGUCUUCACUGGAGUCAACUCCGAUCGGGACUUAUUUUAUAGGAACGUCGCUCUGAUGGUCCUCACCUUACUCAAGCCAUAUCCGUACAUGGUCAAAAAUCUUCCGUAAUAGAUUGGUGCUAGAAGGAGGGCCUAGGCCUACUCUAAGAAAGAGAGGAAAAAACUAUUUAACUACCAUGAUGUUAGAUGUA
This 223-nucleotide long non-coding RNA is filed under the name Elaeis guineensis (African oil palm). Its description in RNAcentral is "long non-coding RNA (EGUI_LNC041488)". The record is from RNAcentral. Lineage: Eukaryota; Viridiplantae; Streptophyta; Magnoliopsida; Arecales; Arecaceae.